This 1514-nucleotide ribosomal RNA is filed under the name Zygometra comata. RNAcentral describes it as "16S ribosomal RNA". The stretch from base 724 to 1514 matches the Rfam family "Archaeal large subunit ribosomal RNA", at positions 1423 to 2862 of the family's 2987-position model. Lineage: Eukaryota; Metazoa; Echinodermata; Crinoidea; Comatulida; Himerometridae. The record is from RNAcentral.
AAAAGAAAUAGCUCAAUAAAAAAUUACAAAAACUUUUUUUCAAAAAAAAAAUAAAAAAUUAUUCUUUAUUAAUAGUAUAAUUAUUAGAAACUUUAUUAUGAAGCUAAAAUAAAAGUACUGAAAAGGAAAUUUGAAAAAUUUAAAAUUUAUUUUAAUAAAAGAAGAUAUAAAAAUUCUUACCUUUUGUAUUAUGGUUUAACAACAAAAUAAGAAAAAUUUUUCAAAACCCGAAACCAGGAGAUCUAAUGAAACCCCAACAUCUAUGGUUGUAUCUGUAUUACUGUUGCAAAAGUAAACAAAGAGAGCUCAUUAGCCAUGAAAAGUGAAACGAGCCUGGUGAUAGCUGGUUUCUCAAAAAAUGAAUUUAGUUCAAGCUUUUAAUUAUUAAUUUUAAUAUUUUUUAUAAUUUUAAAAAGCUAAACCAAAAGGGAUAAACUUUUUGGUUUAAGGAAAAAGCCUUUUUAAAUAGUUUAAAUCAAAAAUAAAAAGAAGAAAAAAAAUAUAGUAGGCCUAGAAGCAGCCAUCAAAAAGAAAGCGUUAAAGCAAAAUAUAUAAAAAAACAAUAAUUUAUGAAAAAAAAAUUUUAACUUUUAAUUAUUAAUGAGAUAAUAAUUAUAAAAUUAUAAAAUAAUGUUAAAAUUAGUACUUUAAUUUGAUUAAAAAAUUUUAAACUAAUCUAACAAAUAUAUGGAAGAAAGAAAAUAUUUUCAACAAGAAAAAAAUUUUCAUAACAGUCUAACCCAACACUGGAAAUCAAGAAAAAAAAAAAAAAAAAGAAGGAACUCGGCAAAAAUAGCUUCGCCUGUUUACCAAAAACAUCGCUCUUUGAAAAAUAUAAAUAAAGAGUACUGCCUGCCCAGUGAUAAAAAUUAAACGGCCGCGGUAUUUUGACCGUGCAAAGGUAGCAUAAUCAUUUGUUCUUUAAUUGAGGACUAGUAUGAAAGGCAAAACGAAAGCUUAACUGUCUCCUUUUUUAGAAAAGAAAUUAAUAUUUUUGUGAAGAAACAAAAAUAAUUAAGUAAGACGAGAAGACCCUGUCGAGCUUAAGAAAAUUUUUAUAAUAAACAUUAUUAGAUAAUUAAAUCAUAUUACUAUAUAAUUUAAAUAAAAAUAUCUUUGGUUGGGGCAACCACGAAGAAAAAAAAACCUUCGUUCAAAAAAAGAAAUUUACAAAUUUAAAAAUUAUUAGAAAUUCAUUAAAGAUCCAGAAAAUUCUGAUCAAAGAAAAAAGUUACCGCAGGGAUAACAGCGUUAUUCUCUUUAAGAGCCCUUAUUGACAAGAGAGUUUGCGACCUCGAUGUUGGAUCGGGGCACCCAAGAGGUGUAGCAGCCUCUAAAGGUAGGUCUGUUCGACCUUUAAAGCCCUACGUGAUCUGAGUUCAGACCGACGCAAGUCAGGUCAGUUUCUAUCUACUAAAAAAGAAGUUUUAUUAGUACGAAAGGAAUCUAAAACUAAAGCCAACUUUUCAAAAAGAGCUUUCAAAAAACUACUGAAAAAAAAUAAAGAAAAACUU